AUUGAACGCUGGCGGCAGGCCUAACACAUGCAAGUCGAACGAGUGGCGGACGGGUGAGUAAUGUCUGGGAAACUGCCUGGUGGUGGGGGAUAACGUCCGGAAACGGGCGCUAAUACCGCAUACUAUCAGAUGAGCCUAGGUCGGAUUAGCUUGUUGGUGGGGUAAAGGCCUACCAAGGCGACGAUCCCUAACUGGUCUGAGAGGAUGAUCAGCCACACUGGAACUGAGACACGGUCCAGACUCCUACGGGAGGCAGCAGUGGGGAAUAUUGGACAAUGGGGGAAAGCCUGAUGCAGCAAUGCCGCGUGUGUGAAGAAGGUCUUCGGAUGGUAAAGUACUUUAAGUGGGGAGGCGUUACCCACAGAAUAAGCACCGGCUAACUUCGUGCCAGCAGCCGCGGUAAUUC
RNAcentral lists this ribosomal RNA (406 nucleotides) under uncultured bacterium. RNAcentral's name for it is "partial 16S ribosomal RNA". It matches the Rfam family "Bacterial small subunit ribosomal RNA", at positions 30 to 526 of the family's 1533-position model. The record is from RNAcentral.